UGGGGGGGGGGGGGGUCGAAAGCGAGAGAAAGAGAGCAAGGGAAAAUAGGCUGGGUGAAAACCUCACAGUUUUCCUCGGUCUCCGCUUUCUCUCGCCUUCGCCUUCCCCCCCCCCCUAGUUUCUCACA
Non-coding RNA from Paramuricea clavata, 128 nucleotides. Lineage: Eukaryota; Metazoa; Cnidaria; Anthozoa; Malacalcyonacea; Plexauridae. The record is from the annotation of a GenBank genome assembly.